CGUAUAUUAAAAUUGUUGCAGUUAAAAAGCUCGUAGUUGAAUUUCUGCUACAUUGCCUAUUCUCCUUUACGAGUUUGGGUCUUUUGUGGCUUAUCUGGGUUCGCUUGCGUUCCCGGUGUUUUACUUUGAGAAAAUUAGAGUGCUCAAAGCAGGCUUUUGCCUUGAAUAGUUUAGCAUGGAAUAAUAAAGUAGGACUUUGGUUCUAUUUUGUUGGUUUUAGGUACCAAAGUAAUGGUUAAUAGGAACAGUUGGGGGCAUUCGUAUUUAACUGUCAGAGGUGAAAUUCUU
RNAcentral lists this ribosomal RNA (288 nucleotides) under Theileria velifera. RNAcentral's name for it is "partial 18S ribosomal RNA". It matches the Rfam family "Eukaryotic small subunit ribosomal RNA", at positions 598 to 921 of the family's 1831-position model. Lineage: Eukaryota; Apicomplexa; Aconoidasida; Piroplasmida; Theileriidae. The record is from RNAcentral.